ACUGCUCAGUAACACGUAGCUAACCUACCCUUAAGUCGAGGAUACUCUCGGGAAACUGAGGUUAAUACUCGAUAGGAGAUGUACCCUGGAAUGAUUCAUCUCUUAAACUUGUGCUUAAGGAUGGGGCUGCGGCGGAUUAGGUUGUUGGCGGGGUAAAGGCCCACCAAGCCGAUGAUCCGUAAGGGCUCUUAGCGGAGAGGCCCUGAGAGGGAAUCUGAGACACUAUUCCCAGCCCUACGGGGUGCAGCAGUUAGGAAUCUUCUGCAAUGCGCGCAAGCGUGACAGAUUGAGUCAGAGUGCUUUUCAUAUGAAAAGCUUUUGCCAAAUGCAAAAAGUUUGGCGAAUAAGGACUGGGUAAGACGGGUGCCAGCCGCCGCGGUAAUACCCGCGGUCCAAGUCGCAGCCAUCAUUAUUGGGUCUAAAACAUCCGUAGCUUGCUUAAUAAGUUUCUUGUGAAAUUCCAUGUCUUAAAUAUGGAGCGGGCAAGAAGUACUGUUGAGCUAGAGACUGGAAGACGUAAGAAGUACGUUUGGAGUAGCGGUAAAAUGUGUUAAUCCCAGACAGACUAACAACAGCGAAGGCAUCUUACGAGGACAGUUCUGACAGUAAGGGAUGAAGGCUAGGGGCGCGAAAGGGAUUAGAUACCCCUGUAGUCCUAGCAGUAAACACUGCACACUAAACAUUAGUACCUCCUCGAGAGGUGUUAGUGCUGAAGAGAAGUCGAAGAGUGUGCUACCUGGGAAGUAUAGUCGCAAGGCUGAAACUUAAAGGAAUUGGCGGGGGAGCA
RNAcentral lists this ribosomal RNA (787 nucleotides) under uncultured archaeon. RNAcentral describes it as "bacterial SSU rRNA". It matches the Rfam family "Archaeal small subunit ribosomal RNA", at positions 85 to 878 of the family's 1478-position model. The record is from RNAcentral.